CCUACGGGAGGCAGCAGUGAGGAAUAUUGGUCAAUGGACGGAAGUCUGAACCAGCCAAGUAGCGUGCAGGAUGACGGCCCUCUGGGUUGUAAACUGCUUUUAGUUGGGAAUAAAAAAGAGGACGUGUCCUCUAUUGUAUGUACCUUCAGAAAAAGGACCGGCUAAUUCCGUGCCAGCAGCCGCGGUAAUACGGAAGGUCCAGGCGUUAUCCGGAUUUAUUGGGUUUAAAGGGAGCGUAGGCGGAUUAUUAAGUCAGUGGUGAAAGACGGUGGCUCAACCAUCGUUAGCCAUUGAAACUGGUAGUCUUGAGUGCAGACAGGGAUGCUGGAACUCGUGGUGUAGCGGUGAAAUGCUUAGAUAUCACGAUGAACUCCGAUCGCGAAGGCAGGUGUCCGGGCUGCAACUGACGCUGAGGCUCGAAAGUGUGGGUAUCAAACAGGAUUAGAUACCCCGGUAGUCC
This 460-nucleotide ribosomal RNA is filed under the name uncultured bacterium. RNAcentral describes it as "bacterial SSU rRNA". It matches the Rfam family "Bacterial small subunit ribosomal RNA", at positions 338 to 796 of the family's 1533-position model. The record is from RNAcentral.